RNAcentral lists this ribosomal RNA (460 nucleotides) under uncultured bacterium. RNAcentral's name for it is "partial 16S ribosomal RNA". It matches the Rfam family "Bacterial small subunit ribosomal RNA", at positions 338 to 795 of the family's 1533-position model. The record is from RNAcentral.
CCUACGGGAGGCAGCAGUGAGGAAUAUUGGUCAAUGGGCGCAAGCCUGAACCAGCCAUGCCGCGUGAAGGAUGACUGCCCUACGGGUUGUAAACUUCUUUUAUAAAGGAGUAAAAUGAGGCACGUGUGCCUUUUUGUAUGUACUUUAUGAAUAAGGAUCGGCUAACUCCGUGCCAGCAGCCGCGGUAAUACGGAGGAUCCGAGCGUUAUCCGGAUUUAUUGGGUUUAAAGGGAGCGUAGGUGGGUUGUUAAGUCAGUUGUGAAAGUCUGCGGCUCAACCGGAAAAUUGCAAUUGAUACUGGCAGACUUGAGGUCAGAUGAGGUAGGCGGAAUGCGUGGUGUAGCGGUGAAAUGCUUAGAUAUCACGAAGAACUCCGAUUGCGAAGGCAGCUUACUAGACUGCAACUGACACUGAUGCUCGAAAGUGUGGGUAUCAAACAGGAUUAGAUACCCGGGUAGUC